CUUUGAGAUACUAAUUGGGACAACACCAAAUAUCAGGGUUCUCAGGAUACAUCCGAAGAAACCUCAAGCUUCCUCCAAAAGAUCAAGCCAAAUCCUCCAAAUCGACUAAACCCUGAUCAACAUUAUGGACCCUGAAGAGCCUACAAUGGCAACCCACAUCAUAAGCUAGGGGCUAGUAGUCCGGGGAGAACAUCAGGACU
Molecule: long non-coding RNA, 200 nt
Filed under: Elaeis guineensis (African oil palm)
Lineage: Eukaryota; Viridiplantae; Streptophyta; Magnoliopsida; Arecales; Arecaceae
Description: long non-coding RNA (EGUI_LNC011578)
Source: RNAcentral